Molecule: ribosomal RNA, 427 nt
Filed under: uncultured bacterium
Lineage: Bacteria
Description: partial 16S ribosomal RNA
Rfam family: Bacterial small subunit ribosomal RNA
Source: RNAcentral
UGGGGAAUUUUGGACAAUGGGCGCAAGCCUGAUCCAGCAAUGCCGCGUGCAGGAUGAAGGCCUUCGGGUUGUAAACUGCUUUUGUACGGAACGAAACGGCGAGCUCUAAUACAGUUUGCUAAUGACGGUACCGUAAGAAUAAGCACCGGCUAACUACGUGCCAGCAGCCGCGGUAAUACGUAGGGUGCAAGCGUUAAUCGGAAUUACUGGGCGUAAAGCGUGCGCAGGCGGUUAUGUAAGACAGAUGUGAAAUCCCCGGGCUUAACCUGGGAACUGCAUUUGUGACUGCAUAGCUAGAGUACGGUAGAGGGGGAUGGAAUUCCGCGUGUAGCAGUGAAAUGCGUAGAUAUGCGGAGGAACACCGAUGGCGAAGGCAAUCCCCUGGACCUGUACUGACGCUCACGCACGAAAGCGUGGGGAGCAAACA